RNAcentral lists this long non-coding RNA (88 nucleotides) under Sus scrofa (pig). RNAcentral's name for it is "lncRNA (ENSSSCG00045015789.1)". Lineage: Eukaryota; Metazoa; Chordata; Mammalia; Artiodactyla; Suidae. The record is from RNAcentral.
ACCGUCAGGGUCGUCAAAGUCUAGGUAGCAGCCAACACCUUCACACGGGGAGUCGCCUGGAAGUUCAGAGGUGAGCAUGAGGCUCUCU